UGUCACUUAUGGAUGGACCCGCGUCGCAUUAGCUAGUUGGUGAGGUAACGGCUCACCAAGGCAACGAUGCGUAGCCGACCUGAGAGGGUGAUCGGCCACACUGGGACUGAGACACGGCCCAGACUCCUACGGGAGGCAGCAGUAGGGAAUCUUCCGCAAUGGACGAAAGUCUGACGGAGCAACGCCGCGUGAGUGAUGAAGGCUUUCGGGUCGUAAAACUCUGUUGUUAGGGAAGAACAAGUGCUAGUUGAAUAAGCUGGCACCUUGACGGUACCUAACCAGAAAGCCACGGCUAACUACGUGCCAGCAGCCGCGGUAAUACGUAGGUGGCAAGCGUUAUCCGGAAUUAUUGGGCGUAAAGCGCGCGCAGGUGGUUUCUUAAGUCUGAUGUGAAAGCCCACGGCUCAACCGUGGAGGGUCAUUGGAAACUGGGAGACUUGAGUGCAGAAGAGGAAAGUGGAAUUCCAUGUGUAGCGGUGAAAUGCGUAGAGAUAUGGAGGAACACCAGUGGCGAAGGCGACUUUCUGGUCUGUAACUGAC
This 540-nucleotide ribosomal RNA is filed under the name Bacillus cereus. RNAcentral describes it as "bacterial SSU rRNA". It matches the Rfam family "Bacterial small subunit ribosomal RNA", at positions 213 to 744 of the family's 1533-position model. Lineage: Bacteria; Bacillati; Bacillota; Bacilli; Caryophanales; Bacillaceae. The record is from RNAcentral.